GCUGCCGAGAGAAGGACAGAAUUGUUCCUACAAUUGCAAGACGACCUCACGCUAAGCCAGGCAUGGGGCGACUUUGACCCUCCCUGCAGGCGGUUUGGACUUCAACUCCCACAAUUCCUAACCCUAGGCAGUCUCUUAUCCCAGGACGUCAUUUGAUAGAUCGAUCGAUCGAUAGAUAGAUGAGAGACAAUAUGAGAUGUAAGGAUAGAUAGGUAGAUGGAUAGAUAGACGAUAUGAGUUGUAAGGAUAGAUAGAAAGAUAGAUGAGAGAAUAUGAGAUGUAAGGACGGAUGGAUAGAUAGAAAGAUAGAUGAGAGAAUAUGAGAUGUAAGAAUGGAUGGAUGGAUAGAUAGAAAGAUAGAUGAGAGACAAUAUGAGAUGUAAGGAUAGAUAGGUAGAUGGAUGGAUAGAUAGAUGAGAGAAUAUGAGAUGUAAGAAUGGAUGGAUGGAUGGAUAGAAAGAUGAGAGACAAUAUGAGAUGUAAGGAUAGAUAGGUAAGAUGGAUAGAUAGACGAUAUGAGUUGUAAGGAUAGGUAGAUAGAUAGAUGAGAGAAUAUGAGAUGUAAGGACAGAUGGAUGGAUAGAUAGAAAGAUAGAUGAGAGACAAUAUGAGAUGUAAGGAUAGAUAGGUAGAUGGAUGGAUAGAUAGAUGAGAGAAUAUGAGAUGUAAGAAUGGAUGGAUGGAUGGAUAGAAAGAUGAGAGACAAUAUGAGAUGUAAGGAUAGAUAGGUAGAUGGAUGGAUAGAUAGAUGAGAGAAUAUGAGAUGUAAGAAUGGAUGGAUGGAUAGAUAGAAAGAUAGAUGAGAGACAAUAUGAGAUGUAAGGAUAGAUAGGUAGAUGGAUGGAUAGAUAGAUGAGAGAAUAUGAGAUGUAAGAAUGGAUGGAUGGAUGGAUAGAAAGAUGAGAGACAAUAUGAGAUGUAAGGAUAGAUAGGUAAGAUGGAUAGAUAGACGAUAUGAGUUGUAAGGAUAGGUAGAUAGAUAGAUGAGAGAAUAUGAGAUGUAAGAACAGAUGGAUGGAUAGAUAGAAAGAUAGAUGAGAGAAUAUGAGAUGUAAGAAUGGAUGGAUGGAUAGAUAGAAAGAUAGAUGAGAGACAAUAUGAGAUGUAAGGAUAGAUAGGUAGAUGGAUGGAUAGAUAGAUGAGAGAAUAUGAGAUGUAAGAAUGGAUGGAUGGAUGGAUAGAAAGAUGAGAGACAAUAUGAGAUGUAAGGAUAGAUAGGUAAGAUGGAUAGAUAGACGAUAUGAGUUGUAAGGAUAGGUAGAUAGAUAGAUGAGAGAAUAUGAGAUGUAAGAACAGAUGGAUGGAUAGAUAGAAAGAUAGAUGAGAGAAUAUGAGAUGUAAGAAUGGAUGGAUGGAUAGAUAGAAAGAUAGAUGAGAGACAAUAUGAGAUGUAAGGAUAGAUAGGUAGAUGGAUGGAUAGAUAGAUGAGAGAAUAUGAGAUGUAAGAAUGGAUGGAUGGAUGGAUGGAUAGAAAGAUGAGAGACAAUAUGAGAUGUAAGGAUAGAUAGGUAGAUGGAUGGAUAGAUAGAUGAGAGAAUAUGAGAUGUAAGAAUGGAUGGAUGGAUAGAUAGAAAGAUGAGAGACAAUAUGAGAUGUAAGGAUAGAUAGGUAAGAUGGAUAGACAGACGAUAUGAGUUGUAAGGAUAGGUAGAUAGAUGAGAGAAUAUGAGAUGUAAGGAUAGAUAGGUAGAUGGAUGGAUAGAUAGAUGAGAGAAUAUGAGGUGUAAAGGUAGAUGGAUAGACAGAAAGAUAGAUGAGAGAAUAUGAGAUGUAAGGAUGGAUGGAUAGAAAGAUAGAUGUAAGGAUAGAUAGGUAGAUGGAUAGAGAAAGAGAUAGAGUGGUUUUUACUCCUACUUACUUUCUCACCCCGAGUUUUAACCUAGUGUUCAUGUGGCCCGCCCUUGGUUUUAUUGUUCUUUUGAUUUUGUUUACUGUAGUGUAUAUUUUCUUGUAUUGUAUUGUUUAAUGCGUUAUGAUUUGUUGUUUUAUAUUGUAUUGUUUUGGGCAUGGCCCCAUGUAAGCCGCCCCGAGUCCCCGUUGGGGAGAUGGUGGCGGGGUAUAAAUAAAGUUGUUUAUUAUUAUUA
This is a long non-coding RNA of Anolis carolinensis (green anole), 2084 nucleotides long. RefSeq lists it as uncharacterized. The transcript is spliced from 2 exons. Lineage: Eukaryota; Metazoa; Chordata; Lepidosauria; Squamata; Anolidae. The record is from RefSeq and is a predicted model, not a curated record.